UUGCUUCCCUGUUGAAGUGAAGAUAUAAAUGUUCCAUUCUGACCCACCUUUGAAAAACAAUUACUUUGCCCCAUGGAUUCUUUGUUCAAUUAGAAAUUUCCCCGGGGCAGGUGACCCAUAGUCUUAAAGAACAGGCUAAACACCACAGAGAGAUUGGUUGCUUUUUGCUUUUCAUCACCUGCAAGAUGUACAUAAAAAUCACAUAAGCUGGAAUUCAACAAAAGGGCCUCACUCUGUCACCCAGGCUACAGUGCAGUGGCAUGUUCAUGGCUCACUGCAGCCUCUACUUCCUAGGUUCAAGCCAUCCUCCCACCUCAGCCUCUUCAGUAGCUGGGACUACAGGCAUGCACCACCACUCCU
Molecule: long non-coding RNA, 360 nt
Filed under: Homo sapiens (human)
Lineage: Eukaryota; Metazoa; Chordata; Mammalia; Primates; Hominidae
Description: HSALNT0369723
Source: RNAcentral